Molecule: ribosomal RNA, 788 nt
Filed under: uncultured marine group I thaumarchaeote
Lineage: Archaea; Thermoproteati; Nitrososphaerota
Description: SSU rRNA
Rfam family: Archaeal small subunit ribosomal RNA
Source: RNAcentral
CCUAUGGACAAGAAUAAUCUCGGGAAACUGGGCAUAAUUCUUGAUAGAUCAUAAUGCCUGGAAUGGUUUAUGGUUAAAAUGAUUCGUCGCCAUAGGAUGGGACUGCGGCCUAUCAGCUUGUUGGUGAGGUAAUGGCCCACCAAGGCGAUUACAGGUACGGGCUCUGAGAGGAGAAGCCCGGAGAUGGGUACUGAGACACGGACCCAGGCCCUAUGGGGCGCAGCAGGCGAGAAAACUUUGCAAUGUGCGAAAGCACGACAAGGUUAAUCCGAGUGAUUUCUGCUAAAGAAAUCUUUUGCCAGUCAUAAAACCACUGGUGAAUAAGGGGUGGGCAAGUUCUGGUGUCAGCCGCCGCGGUAAAACCAGCACCUCAAGUGGUCAGGAUGAUUAUUGGGCCUAAAGCAUCCGUAGCCGGCUUUGUAAGUUUUCGGUUAAAUCCAUGUGCUCAACGCAUGGGCUGCCGAAAAUACUGCAUGGCUAGGGAGUGGGAGAGGUAGACGGUACUCAGUAGGAAGGGGUAAAAUCCUUUGAUCUCUCGAUGACCACCUGUGGCGAAGGCGGUCUACCAGAACACGUCCGACGGUGAGGGAUGAAAGCUGGGGGAGCAAACCGGAUUAGAUACCCGGGUAGUCCCAGCCGUAAACUAUGCAAACUCAGUGAUGCAUUGGCUUGUGGCCAAUGCAGUGUUGCAGGGAAGCCGUUAAGUUUGCCGCCUGGGAAGUACGUACGCAAGUAUGAAACUUAAAGGAAUUGGCGGGGAGCACCACAAGGGUGAAGCCUGCGGUUCA